GUCCGGGGUUGCCUCAGGGUUUCUUUCAGGCCGCGCCAGGAGCCCCGGACCGAGCGCUGUCCUGACCCCACGGCAGCACCGGCGCAGCCCCUGGGCGGAGGCACAGGAGCGGAGGCGCGGCGGGGGCUCAGCGAAGCGACUUCUCCCUCGCGGGGAGCCGGGUCUGGCCAGUGGGGUCUUCCCGGAGCUGUGGCAGCCACGGUACACACUCGGACAUUCGCCACGGCAGCUUGAGGAAACGACUGUAUGCCCAUCGCAAACCGAACCGUACCUGCAGCUAUCCACAGGUUUUUAUCCACAGCCCCCCGAGGAGCUGGGUGAAGGGAGCUCUGAAAGACACAUCGCUCCUUUUCCCUUCUAAUGCUUUUCAGUUACACAGAAACAUCUGAACUUUUCCUUUCCCAUUGCAGUUAAGAGUAAAUACCAACCCAGGAGUGAGAGCCUGCUUCCCAGUCCUGAGUGAGAUCUAAAAGCUGCCACAUUCAAAUUUUGUUCUGUUCGACCGAAAGGUCUGUGUUACCAGUCCUGCUUCUUGGGGACACCAAACUUCCUGGAGCCUGUUAAACAGUAAAAUUCACUCAAGUAACUCAAAACCCAUUAAGUGGAAACAAGUUUCUAGAUGGUGUCAGUGGUUAAACCAAUGCAAGGGAUUCAGUUUCUAUCAGCCUAGAGAAAAUAUCCACACAAGUAUGAUAGUGCCUUACCACUGCCAGAGUUUACACAUCAGGCAUAUUACAGAUUCCACAAAAAACCCCAGGCUGCCACUCCAAGUCAGUCUUGCUCUAUCAUAAGAUACCAACGAAUUGUAUCACACUGUCAACAUCUAGGAGGUUGCAUAAGACAAUGACUGACUCCUUUUCACCCGGUUCCAAACAAGAUGCAGCGUUUGCUGAAUAUUUAAAUUCCUAGGCAAAACUUUGCAUUUAAAGGUGAAUGACUUAAAAGUUGAAACAGCUAACACAGUCUUGCUCCAAUAUAUUCCUUAAUGGCAAAAAGCUUUAGACAUCUAUAGCAAUCUGAGGAGUAAGGGAACUACAACCAAAAGGUAGCACAGAACCCUUUUACUAAGCCAACACAAAAUGUUGCAGAGUAACUGUGAAACAAUGAGCCGAACAAAAUUACAAAAUGAAUUUAUUCCAAAGCUGUAAGGGAACAUUUACAAUUCAACAAGAUGGUAAAAAGGUGUUUCCACAAGAACUCACUGCAUUAAAAUUAGAUGUGAAACUGGGGAAAAAUAAUCUAACUACUGAGGCCACAAGAACUUUGCACAUCACUUCUGAAAUACAGGACUCAUGUAAAGAAAACUCACUCAAAAUUCAGUGAGAAAAUAAGCUGCUAGCACCUAGCUACUAGUCUAAAUACAAGCUAUGUUUAGGCUUUGAGAUUACAUUUUUAAAUCCCCUCAAAACACCAAUUAUAGCUACAAGUGCAAAAUGUCUUUUUUUCCCUCCUUUUUUCCUCCAAUGGAAGCUUAUUACACAUCUAGUGUCUAUUUUCAGAGUGACAUUUUGGUCUCACAAAUUUGUCCUUGAAAGCUUUUUGCCAAGUUUUAUGGGUUUUGUGAUAAAUCAAAGUUGAGCAGCUGGCAGGUAAUCAGAAAUACAGUCAGCUCACAUGUCCUGGAAUGUCCAAAGUUUGCUGCCUAGUGUUCCAGAGUUAAGCAAAAAUAGACUUCUAAUUUAGCAUCAACAAUGUCUCUCACUUUGACAUAGUUUUGGUAUUUUGGCCAUCUGAUUAUAGUGAUAAAUAUCAGUGUUAAUGAAAACACCUGAGUCAGAUUCACAAACAAAUACAAAUAGAACCAGAGUGGGGAGACAUCACCUUCUGUAGAUAUCAAGUGGCUGAACAAAAAAAAAAAA
Neopelma chrysocephalum (saffron-crested tyrant-manakin) is the source of this 1859-nucleotide long non-coding RNA. RefSeq lists it as uncharacterized. NCBI's taxonomy places the organism in Eukaryota, Metazoa, Chordata, Aves, Passeriformes, Pipridae. The transcript has 2 exons. The record is from RefSeq and is a predicted model, not a curated record.